UGAGCAAUCUGCCCUUCACAUCGGAAUAACCAUUGGAAACGAUGGCUAAUGCCGAAUAUGACUUCGGAUCGCAUGAUCUGAAGUGGAAAGCUCCGGCGGUGAAGGAUGAGCUCGCGGCCUAUCAGCUCGUUGGUGAGGUAAUAGCUCACCAAGGCAAUAACGGGUAGCCGGCUGAGAGGGUGACCGGCCACACGUGGGACUGAGACACCGGCA
RNAcentral lists this ribosomal RNA (213 nucleotides) under uncultured bacterium. RNAcentral describes it as "partial 16S ribosomal RNA". It matches the Rfam family "Bacterial small subunit ribosomal RNA", at positions 118 to 332 of the family's 1533-position model. The record is from RNAcentral.